UGUAUUUGAAACUUUCCUCAAUGGUAAGUAGGAAAUAAAUAUGAUACCUCCUCCAAACAGACAUUGUAGACAAUGAUUAUUGAAUCAUCCAUCGCUACAACAAUCACAUUGUUAUCAGAUGAGUGGCAAGCAAGACAUUGCUGCAGGUGUAAUAGGCAUGAUACUUUUCAUUUUCUGCAGUUAUCAAGAACAACAAGGAACAGUUUAUGAAAUCAAUAAUAGUAGGAUGAAAUCUCUAAGCUAUGGGGCAUUUCAAUUUUAAAGUAUUACUUGUUCGGGAGAAAUCAAAGAGCUCGGUGUCAUACAAAUUAAGGAUAACUGUAGAACAUAAAGCAAAUUCUGGAUUUAAGAAAUACAAAUCACAUGAAAGUAAAGUACCUGUUUAUACCCUGUUGUCAGUUUUCAUUCUUGAAAAUUCAAUUCCAUUAACACUUAACACUUACCGUAACUAACAUGAUUUGAUUACUUCAGUUUGGAACUGUAGGCAACUUUCUUGGGCAAAGGAACGGAUAUAGGGAAGGAGAAGCAUUUCAUUAUACAGCAUGUAAACUUCAUUUUUUUUAAUCACCUUAAACACGAGAGAAUAUUGAAAAUAGAGAUCGCUCAUCCGGAUAUCGAAAGUGCAUAAAAAUCAUUCUAGGUUAAAGCUACACAAGGUGAACAUGCUUUUGCAUCACUGCUGGACAGGCUGUUGGUCAACAACACCCCAUUUGUGGUUGGAAUAGUUGAGGAGUGCAUUUUGGUGUCGUUUACAACAUAAACACGUUGGUCAGCCGACAAACGUAAAUUUAUAACCCCUUUUCUUAUAGCCAAUAGAAGUUUCCCACAAGAGAGAUAUAUAAGCCUUUUUCUUGAAACUCCUUUACCUGACCAGUCAAAUUAGAAUCACUCUUCGACCUUUUUCAGAGUAGAUGAAUAUUAUCUACGACUAAAGCCAAAAGCAUAUUUCCUAGAUGAGUAUACAUCAAUCUCCACAUCAACCAAAUACCUCGGAGCACAAUGGAUUAUAGUUCAAUCAUUAUAUUUAUUCAAUAGGCGAUAAAAGAAAGCAACUAAGCAAAUAGUGUGCGUACGUGCUACAGAUAACUGUAUCAGCUGCUAAUGAUCUAGAGUUUCUAGGCAUGGUAUUUUUUUUCAGGGUAGACAUGAUUUCAAAAUUUUCAAUCCAAUAGCUAAAAGUAAUAAAUAGAAAAAUAAUAUCCAUAAGCAUAAAUCAUGGAAAAAUAUUUACUUUUCAAAGUAAGAUUAAAGAAAGAACUAAGGUUGGUUUAUGAAUAGUCCAUUAAAUUCUAAAGAUGAGACAGUCAUAACCAUACACAUGGAUCGCGUUCACAGUCUUUUCAUCAUCUUUUUUUUGAGAACUAAAUGAUCCAUUACUUUAGAGUUUCUCUGUCAAUAGAUAUACUUGGCAGACUUGGUUGUUCUUGAGAAAGUUUUUUAAUGAAGGCAAGACAAAGAUGUUUAAGUCAUACAUCUUCACCAUGCUUUAAUUUUAUAGCAACAUCAUUAUUGCCAACUUAAGAUGUUUAAAGAAAAUAAAACUACCAAAUUAUAGAAUACACACCUUGGGCGAGCUAGUACAGUGUCGAAGACCAUUGUUUGGAGGAUUUUCCAUAUGCAACAAGUAUCAUAUCCAUCUAAUAAAUGCAGAUAUCCAACUGCAUGAGAUGUUGAUUGUGGGUAGAAAAAACUUAUGGUCACCAACACUGUUUGAUUAAUUAUAGUUUAAGCAAGAUACAAAUAAAAAUAAUAAUUAAUGAACUAUGAUCAAUUCCAAACUAAUUUGUGUACUCUAUAUGAAUACCUCUCACUUAUUCUAAGAGAGAAAAUGAAAAAUAUAAAAAAGGAAAAGGAACUGUAAUAUAAUUUUCCAAGUAGUAAAUACCAUUCAAUAAAUUCACAAAGACACAUAAUAAACCUUUCAUUGAGAAACACAACUUUGAUAGAAGAACCUUCAGCAUAUUCAAAUGUCAACAUGUGCGUCACAUCAUCAAAAAUAUACAGAACUGGAGUUGAAAUUCAUAGCCUUUUUUUCUAACUUCAGUUAUGUAGCGGGUCACCUGUUCCAACAUUACAUUAUCUUAAAAGUCAUGCAAGGAUACUGAUAAAAAAUAAUUCACUAAUCUCAACUAAUCAUAUUUAAGUGUUUGAGAGUGUGCUUUGUGUACAAAUUUGAUACUUGUAACAGUACAUCUCUUUAUCACAAAACGUGACUUGAGUACUCUCUGAAAAAGAAGUUUGAAUAGCGGUAAGGAUGCACAUGAUAUUGACAAAAUGAACAGCUAAAGUCAGCAUUAUCGGGCUUCUAUAUGCUACUAUUGAUACUAUUCAAAAUUCACAAACCAAAGUAACCAUUGUUUCGAGAGUUAAAUGAGGAAUAAGCUUUUAUAAAAUAAAUAUAGAACAAAGCAAGUAACUUACCGUCGUGCCUUGCUUGACCAAAAUUAAGGAGUUUUCUUUUACUUCUAAAUUGAUUUUCAUUUUCCAAGAAGAAUAACUGCAUCAACAACACAAUAACCACUUUAGGAAAUCUAAAGCAAGAACUUUAGACCCGCAAGUAGCUAUAAUAAGUGAAACUACAUAGCUAUACCAGGACACCAAUAACAGAAGUAAUAUGAGAAAAUACAUAUAAACACAUAAGGAGUUUUCUUUUACUUCUAAAUUGAUUUUCAUUUUCCAAGAAGAAUAACUGCAUCAACAACACAAUAACCACUUUAGGAAAUCUAAAGCAAGAACUUUAGACCCGCAAGUAGCUAUAAUAAGUGAAACUACAUAGCUAUACCAGGACACCAAUAACAGAAGUAAUAUGAGAAAAUACAUAUAAACACAUAAGGAGUUUUCUUUUACUUCUAAAUUGAUUUUCAUUUUCCAAGAAGAAUAACUGCAUCAACAACACAAUAACCACUUUAGGAAAUCUAAAGCAAGAACUUUAGACCCGCAAGUAGCUAUAAUAAGUGAAACUACAUAGCUAUACCAGGACACCAAUAACAGAAGUAAUAUGAGAAAAUACAUAUAAACACAUAAUAAGCUAAAAUGAAGUCAUUCUAAAGACCAAAAUUGUAUCAUAUUGCUCUUCAUCAAACAUGGAUAUAACGACCAAAUAUCUUAAAUACUUGAUGGAUAUGCAACCAUUAUAUACCAUGAUAUGCUUGUCCAAACGAAUGAUGUUGAAUAUUGUCGAGCAUUUAUGGAAUAUCAAACAAAUUCUUGAUUUACUUGCUUUGAGUAAUUUUGAAAUUUAAUCACCCAAACUAGUAAUGCCACAUUAGGCAUAUCCGAACGAAUCUCGACAAAUAUUGUCAAACACUAAUGAAAUCAAACAAUUUCUUAUUUUUCCCAUUUCGAGUUACUCCGAAAUUUGAUCUCCCAAAUCAGUAUAGGCCACCUACAUUAGGCAUAUCCUAACAAAUGCCGAUGAAUAUUGUCCCAAAAAUGGAAUCAAAUAAUCUCUUGCUUUUUCCAGCUUCGAGUUACUCCAAAAUUUGAUCUCUCAAAAGUUCCCCAAAAAAGAUAGUGGGAUUGUUACAUUUCUUCAAAGCCAUGGCAAAUAAAACAAUACACACUCCAAAUGAAUCUAUUCCUCGCUUAAAUGUACCUGAAAUUGCCGACGCUUUGUG
Molecule: long non-coding RNA, 3617 nt
Filed under: Solanum tuberosum (potato)
Lineage: Eukaryota; Viridiplantae; Streptophyta; Magnoliopsida; Solanales; Solanaceae
Description: long non-coding RNA (STUB_LNC003591)
Source: RNAcentral